GGAGUUGUAGCUCAGUGUUAGAGCACUUGCCUAGCACAUGUGAGGCACUGAGUUCAAUCCUCAGCACCA
RNAcentral lists this transfer RNA (69 nucleotides) under Marmota monax (woodchuck). It matches the Rfam family "tRNA". Rfam says of the family: Transfer RNA (tRNA) molecules are approximately 80 nucleotides in length. Their secondary structure includes four short double-helical elements and three loops (D, anti-codon, and T loops). Lineage: Eukaryota; Metazoa; Chordata; Mammalia; Rodentia; Sciuridae. The record is from Rfam by way of RNAcentral.